GGCGAGGUAGCUCAGUUGGCUAGAGCACACGGUUCAUACCCGUGGUGUCAGGAGUUCGAAUCUCCUCCUCGCUA
Molecule: transfer RNA, 74 nt
Filed under: Lachnospiraceae bacterium
Lineage: Bacteria; Bacillati; Bacillota; Clostridia; Lachnospirales; Lachnospiraceae
Description: tRNA-Met
Rfam family: tRNA
About the family: Transfer RNA (tRNA) molecules are approximately 80 nucleotides in length.
Source: RNAcentral